Molecule: ribosomal RNA, 492 nt
Filed under: uncultured bacterium
Lineage: Bacteria
Description: partial 16S ribosomal RNA
Rfam family: Bacterial small subunit ribosomal RNA
Source: RNAcentral
AGUGAACGCUGGCGGUAGGCCUAACACAUGCAAGUCGAACGGCAGCACAGUAAGAGCUUGCUCUUACGGGUGGCGAGUGGCGGACGGGUGAGGAAUACAUCGGAAUCUACUUUUUCGUGGGGGAUAACGUAGGGAAACUUACGCUAAUACCGCAUACGACCUACGGGUGAAAGCAGGGGAUCUUCGGACCUUGCGCGAUUGAGUGAGCCGAUGUCGGAUUAGCUAGUUGGCGGGGUAAAGGCCCACCAAGGCGACGAUCCGUAGCUGGUCUGAGAGGAUGAUCAGCCACACUGGAACUGAGACACGGUCCAGACUCCUACGGGAGGCAGCAGCGGGGAAUAUUGGACAAUGGGCGCAAGCCUGAUCCAGCCAUACCGCGUGGGUGAAGAAGGCCUUCGGGUUGUAAAGCCCUUUUGUUGGGAAAGAAAAGCAGCAGGUUAAUACCCCGCUGUUCUGACGGUACCCAAAGAAUAAGCACCGGCUAACUUCGUG